Equus caballus (horse) is the source of this 3302-nucleotide long non-coding RNA. NCBI's taxonomy places the organism in Eukaryota, Metazoa, Chordata, Mammalia, Perissodactyla, Equidae. The record is from Ensembl.
GUGCUGUGUGCCCCUCAUCAGAUGUUCCCCAGGAAAUGCGAGCACCCUCUGGGGAAAGGUCAGCAGCCACUAGAGGGAGCCAGACAUCCUGGACGGCCCUCCGCCCCACCUGUGCCUUGCUGGGCACACAGAGGCUCUGCCCUGUGAGCCUCUUCUUGCACCCCGCCUCCCCACAAGCUGUUGUCCCUGCCCCCAAGGGAGACGAGGUUCACACUCAGCUCACUUCUGGCUGGCCCACUGGGCACCAUUCUGGUACCUGCUGACUGGUCUCUGGAAGACCCCCGGGCCUCCCUGCCCACCUCCCUGCCAGUCUGUGAUGUCCCAUCUUGAAGCCAGUGCAGCUCUGAUUCAGGAUGGACGGGGUGGGAGCUGCUGGUGUGACAAGAGCCCGAUAACUGCAGGGCAGGAGGGCAGGGGGUCACGCUGUGAGCAGCCAUGUGGAGGCCUGAGGAUGGGGGCCAAUGGGUCCAGGAAUAGCGGCCAGACCACUAAACACUCUGGCUAAGGGUCACCUCUAGGCCCCCUUGCCCACGUGCUUCCCCUCUGUCCUGAGACCACCCCAUACUCAGUCACUUCCCAUCAUCCAAGUGCCCGUCUACCUCCGGCCUCUGGCCAAUGCAGGGCCCACUCCUGUCCUGAGAGGCCUUACCUGUUGGGGUUGGGGAAGAGACUGCCACCAGACAGAAGUAGCCAGGGGAGCAGGGUGCAGAGGGGGCAGCAAGGCCAGACACACCACAGAAAUGGCCAGAGGGGCAGGGUAGGCACUCUGAGGCCGUGGAGAGAAGCAUCCUGGGACACAGAGAGCGAGUGCGGGUCAGUGGGAAAGGAGGCCCUUAGGGUAGAGAGGCUAUGUCCCGGCGAGAGACCCGCCCUUCUGGGGCUGCCUUCUCAUUUCUCCUUGUUGAGGCUCCCUGGGCUUCCUCGCGCUCCCAUGCGCGGUCCAAGGUGGCGUCUGGGUGUGCUGGGUCUCUCUCUCCUAAGAUAGGCUCCUGGUUAGUUUCCUUGUCAUCUUAAUCCCCAGUUCAGAGUCAGGCUGUCCAGGGCCGCAGACCCCUGGUCUGGCAGCUGCAGUCAGAAUGUCCAGCAGCCUUUCAGCCACGGGUUCCUCAGCUGCCUCAUUCUGCGGUGCCCUUGCUUGGGGGUUGGGCAGUUCCUAAAGGUGGGAGAUGGGGCUCUACUCUCAAAUGAGGUGCAGGCAGACACACAGGCUUCUUCCUGGUUUGCUCCUCAGGCCUGACACGUUCUCAAGCGGCCAGCAGCCAGCACCGUCUGCCCUGAUUCUGACCAUCGUGCUCCCCGUCCCUCCGCUGCUGCUCAGGGGGUUCCUGCCCUUGGAGGCCAGGCAGAAGUCCUGCUCUCUGAGGUCCAUGUUCCUCCAUGGCGGAGGGACAUCAUUGGUGAGACAGAUAGAUGGUCACUGUGGGAAGGAAGACCAGGAAGACUGCCCCUUGGACCUGGGGCAGUGGCACUCACCGAUCUGAGAAGGUGCCCACAGGGCAGGGCAGGGGCACCCCCGUGCCCUCUGGACAGAAGUGGCCUGGAGGGCAGGGCCCCCCUGCCGUGCCACAAAAGGCUCCAUGGGAGUGGGUGACAUCAGCUCCUGCCCAAAGUCAGGAGGGGGUGAGGUCACAGAGCAACUCCUCCUCAGCCCAAAGCCCCCACCUCGACCCCCCUCAACCACAGGACGUUUCCUGGAGAUUGAAAACUGGAGUGACAGCACCCUCCACUGCCAGGGUGGCGCUCAAGUCCAGGGUGCCACCCAAUCCUCACCUCCAAGGGACUUUGGGUGGGGCUCCAGACUAUGGAGACGGGAAGACGAGGGCAGAGUGACGCAUCUUUAAACGUCUGUGAUCUUGCAGUUUGCGUCAAAGUCAUCUCCACAGCCCUAAGGACACUGAUGUGACAAGGGAGGGGUUCUCUCCAGGAAUCAUUGGAUCACAGGGUGGGAACUGCCUGGCAGCUCCUGCUGCAUCUGCCGACUGAGUCCAGCAGCCCUGGGCAGGGCAGUGGGGGAGAGGCCCUGUCCACAGCGGUGCCUUGCCAGGGCUUCCGCAGUUGCGUUUACUUUCAGUAAUGAGUGGGAGCCGGAAGCUGACAUUAGAACUUUGGCGCUUUCCUUACUGUCUCGUGUUUUCAUGGCCCUGUUUGAUGGCUGAGGUUCCUCCAGCUCUGCCCCUGCAGUAGUGUCAUCCUAUCUUCAGUGGGAGCUCCCUGUCACCCUUGGGCAGUGAGCCCCAGAGGGCAGGAGCUGGGCCUUCACCUUCUGGACAGGCCAGUCUGGUGGGGCAAAUCUCACAGUGCGACAGGUUGGAGAGGUUGGUGCGGUUGCUGAAGGUCCCAGGUGGGCAGGCGUGGCGGGGAGUGUGCAGACAGGAGCCCACAAGGCACACAUACCUACGACACCCAUGGAGUUGGAGCCAGAUGGCACUACAGGAGCGAAUACAUGUGGUAACACUUGGUGCAGAGCCUGACAUCCAGUAGAUGCUCCAGCCCCAUCCUACCAGCGCCUGGAACCCUGCCCCGUGCUUGGGGCCCUUCCUCACUGCCAGACCCAUUCUUCCAAGGUGGGAGGAGACAUUGUUGAUGGUGGUGAUUGUGAAGACAACAGGAGCUCUUUGCUGAUCACUCACUAGGUGCCAAGCUCAGUGCAAGGCCCUUUCCAUAGGCUGUCUCGCCUGAUGUUCACAACAGCCUUAUGAGGCAAAUAUUACUGCCUUUCUUUUAAAGAUGAGGCUCAGAGAGGAAGUACAACUACUUUACUAUGAAGGAAGAUUUUCCUCCACACCUGGCAACAGCUCAGCCAAUGAGAAAUGCUGCAGCCCAGCCAAUCAGAAACGCCACAGCUCAGCCAAUGAGAAAUGCUACAGCCCAACCCAUCAGAAACUCUACGGCCCAGCCAAUGACAAAUGCUGCAGCCCAGCCAAUCAGAAAUGCCACAGCUCAGCCAAUGAGAAAUGCUGCAGUCCAACCCAUCAGAAACUCUACAGCCCAGCCAAUGAGAAAUGCUGCAGCCCAGCCAAUCAGAAACGCCACAGCUCAGCCAAUGAGAAAUGCCACAGCUCAGCCAAUCAGAAAUGCUACAGCCCAGCCAAUGAGAAAUGCUGGAGCCCAGCCAAUGAGAAACACCACAGCUCAGCCAAUAAGAAGCCAUUUCCGCCCUGAAGUGUUACUUCCCCCAAUGGACUUUCCUUUAGAACAGCGGCUACCUACUCCCCUUCUCUAUAAAAGCAGCUCCCCUCCUUUGUUUUCUGGAUUUACCUAUGGUUUCCCAUAGCAUGCACAUCCCCAAUUGUAAUUCUUUC